RNAcentral lists this ribosomal RNA (497 nucleotides) under uncultured bacterium. Its description in RNAcentral is "partial 16S ribosomal RNA". It matches the Rfam family "Bacterial small subunit ribosomal RNA", at positions 28 to 507 of the family's 1533-position model. The record is from RNAcentral.
GAUGAACGCUGGCGGCGUGCCUAAUACAUGCAAGUCGAGCGAACGGACGAGAAGCUUGCUUCUCUGAUGUUAGCGGCGGACGGGUGAGUAACACGUGGAUAACCUACCUAUAAGACUGGGAUAACUUCGGGAAACCGGAGCUAAUACCGGAUAAUAUUUUGAACCGCAUGGUUCAAAAGUGAAAGACGGUCUUGCUGUCACUUAUAGAUGGUUCCGCGCUGCAUUAGCUAGUUGGUAAGGUAACGGCUUACCAAGGCAACGAUGCAUAGCCGACCGGUGAGGGUGAUCGGCCACACUGGAGCUGGGACACGGUCAAGGCUCCUGCGGGAGGCAGCAGUAGGGAAUCUUCCGCAAUGGGCGAAAGCCUGACGAAGCAACGCCGCGUGAGUGAUGAAGGUCUUCGGAUCGUAAAACUCUGUUAUUAGGGAAGAACAUAUGUGUAAGUAACUGUGCACAUCUUGACGGUACCUAAUCAGAAAGCCACGGCUAACUACGUG